GGUUAUGCAACUUCAAAUCUUUAGCCACAUUUGAAGCUGGCAUUUUUCAGUUAGGCUAAAAGAUUUAAGUGUGCAUAUAAGACCUUUUUAUAUUACUGUCUCUUAUCACAAGCUUUAAACAAAACUAAUCUGGGGAACUUGCUAUGAUAAACAAUCAGCUUCAUGAGAAAUUAUUUUCAAAGCAAAAGCAUCUAUAUUCAAGAAAUGGUAAGAAGUACACCAAAACAAAAGACAAAAUUGCAAAAACAAAAAAACACUACCAAAGCAAGAAAUGGAAAAAAAGGACAGUAUCUUCUUAGAAUCUUACCUUGAACAACAGGUAUAAGAAUAAAGCCUUUCUUCUAAAAGAAUACUUCCUUUAUAAAUUCAGCAUAUAUGUCUCAGUAAUUACUAUAUCUAAGUACGUUCUCAUAUUUGGGGACAUA
This 425-nucleotide long non-coding RNA is filed under the name Bos taurus (domestic cattle). RNAcentral's name for it is "long non-coding RNA NONBTAT006667". Lineage: Eukaryota; Metazoa; Chordata; Mammalia; Artiodactyla; Bovidae. The record is from RNAcentral.